RNAcentral lists this ribosomal RNA (301 nucleotides) under uncultured bacterium. RNAcentral describes it as "partial 16S ribosomal RNA". It matches the Rfam family "Bacterial small subunit ribosomal RNA", at positions 512 to 810 of the family's 1533-position model. The record is from RNAcentral.
CAGCCGCGGCAAAACGUAGGUGGUAAGCGUUAUCCGGAAUUAUUGGGCGUAAAGCGCGCGUAGGCGGUUUCUUAAGUCUGAUGUGAAAGCCCACGGCUCAACCGUGGAGGGUCAUUGGAAACUGGGAAACUUGAGUACAGAAGAGGAAAGUGGAAUUCCAUGUGUAGCGGUGAAAUGCGCAGAGAUAUGGAGGAACACCAGUGGCGAAGGCGACUUUCUGGUCUGUAACUGACGCUGAUGUGCGAAAGCGUGGGGAUCAAACAGGAUUAGAUACCCCGGUAGUCCCUGUCUCUUAUACACA